RNAcentral lists this ribosomal RNA (576 nucleotides) under uncultured bacterium. RNAcentral describes it as "bacterial SSU rRNA". It matches the Rfam family "Bacterial small subunit ribosomal RNA", at positions 102 to 674 of the family's 1533-position model. The record is from RNAcentral.
ACGGGUGGGUAAUGUCUGGGAAACUGCCCGAUGGAGGGGGAUAACUACUGGAAACGGUAGCUAAUACCGCAUAACGUCGCAAGACCAAAGUGGGGGACCUUCGGGCCUCACACCAUCGGAUGUGCCCAGAUGGGAUUAGCUAGUAGGUGGGGUAAUGGCUCACCUAGGCGACGAUCCCUAGCUGGUCUGAGAGGAUGACCAGCCACACUGGAACUGAGACACGGUCCAGACUCCUACGGGAGGCAGCAGUGGGGAAUAUUGCACAAUGGGCGCAAGCCUGAUGCAGCCAUGCCGCGUGUAUGAAGAAGGCCUUCGGGUUGUAAAGUACUUUCAGCGGGGAGGAAGGCGGUGAAGUUAAUAACUUCACCGAUUGACGUUACCCGCAGAAGAAGCACCGGCUAACUCCGUGCCAGCAGCCGCGGUAAUACGGAGGGUGCAAGCGUUAAUCGGAAUUACUGGGCGUAAAGCGCACGCAGGCGGUCUGUCAAGUCGGAUGUGAAAUCCCCGGGCUUAACCUGGGAACUGCAUUCGAAACUGGCAGGCUAGAGUCUUGUAGAGGGGGGUAGAAUUCCAGGU